AACUUUGCGACAGAUUAUGGUUCUUAAUUAUACUUCUGUAUAACCAAGUGAAAAGGGAAUUCGGUUUAAAUCCGAAGCUGUUCCCGCAACUGUAAGCUUAGCCAAAAAUUGGUGGUUGUUAUUAGCUUUAAGCCACUGUUCGUUCAGGACGGGAAGGUGAAUAACAAUACGCGAGCCAGGAGACCUGCCAAAAAUCUGUAUAGUUC
RNAcentral lists this non-coding RNA (206 nucleotides) under Lutibacter sp. The record is from RNAcentral. Lineage: Bacteria; Pseudomonadati; Bacteroidota; Flavobacteriia; Flavobacteriales; Flavobacteriaceae.